Molecule: ribosomal RNA, 837 nt
Filed under: Enterococcus durans
Lineage: Bacteria; Bacillati; Bacillota; Bacilli; Lactobacillales; Enterococcaceae
Description: bacterial SSU rRNA
Rfam family: Bacterial small subunit ribosomal RNA
Source: RNAcentral
CUUUUUUCCACCGGAGCUUGCUCCACCGGAAAAAGANGAGUGGCGAACGGGUGAGUAACACGUGGGUAACCUGCCCAUCAGAAGGGGAUAACACUUGGAAACAGGUGCUAAUACCGUAUAACAAUCNAAACCGCAUGGUUUUGAUUUGAAAGGCGCUUUCGGGUGUCGCUGAUGGAUGGACCCGCGGUGCAUUAGCUAGUUGGUGAGGUAACGGCUCACCAAGGCCACGAUGCAUAGCCGACCUGAGAGGGUGAUCGGCCACAUUGGGACUGAGACACGGCCCAAACUCCUACGGGAGGCAGCAGUAGGGAAUCUUCGGCAAUGGACGAAAGUCUGACCGAGCAACGCCGCGUGAGUGAAGAAGGUUUUCGGAUCGUAAAACUCUGUUGUUAGAGAAGAACAAGGAUGAGAGUAACUGUUCAUCCCUUGACGGUAUCUAACCAGAAAGCCACGGCUAACUACGUGCCAGCAGCCGCGGUAAUACGUAGGUGGCAAGCGUUGUCCGGAUUUAUUGGGCGUAAAGCGAGCGCAGGCGGUUUCUUAAGUCUGAUGUGAAAGCCCCCGGCUCAACCGGGGAGGGUCAUUGGAAACUGGGAGACUUGAGUGCAGAAGAGGAGAGUGGAAUUCCAUGUGUAGCGGUGAAAUGCGUAGAUAUAUGGAGGAACACCAGUGGCGAAGGCGGCUCUCUGGUCUGUAACUGACGCUGAGGCUCGAAAGCGUGGGGAGCAAACAGGAUUAGAUACCCUGGUAGUCCACGCCGUAAACGAUGAGUGCUAAGUGUUGGAGGGUUUCCGCCCUUCAGUGCUGCAGCUAACGCAUUAAGCACUCCGCCUGGGG